This 222-nucleotide ribosomal RNA is filed under the name Klebsiella pneumoniae. Its description in RNAcentral is "partial 23S ribosomal RNA". It matches the Rfam family "Bacterial large subunit ribosomal RNA", at positions 1 to 230 of the family's 2925-position model. Lineage: Bacteria; Pseudomonadati; Pseudomonadota; Gammaproteobacteria; Enterobacterales; Enterobacteriaceae. RNAcentral also lists the same sequence under 1 other name. The record is from RNAcentral.
CGACUAAGCGUACACGGUGGAUGCCCUGGCAGUCAGAGGCGAUGAAGGACGUGCUAAUCUGCGAAAAGCGUCGGUAAGGUGAUAUGAACCGUUAUAGCCGGCGAUGUCCGAAUGGGGAAACCCAGUGCAAUUCGUUGCACUAUCGUUAACUGAAUACAUAGGUUAACGAGGCGAACCGGGGGAACUGAAACAUCUAAGUACCCCGAGGAAAAGAAAUCAACC